This is a long non-coding RNA of Onychostoma macrolepis, 5536 nucleotides long. RefSeq lists it as uncharacterized. The transcript is spliced from 2 exons. NCBI's taxonomy places the organism in Eukaryota, Metazoa, Chordata, Actinopteri, Cypriniformes, Cyprinidae. The record is from RefSeq and is a predicted model, not a curated record.
AAGUUUAAAAAAAAAAAUCUUACUGGUGCAACCUUUAAGUGAAUUCGCUCCUUAGAACAUCAUUCUUGUUCAUAGCGGUCAUAGCAACCAGAUAUUUAAUUUACUAGCAACUAGAAAAGUCGGGGAGCACAGACGUUCCAUUCUACGUGUUAACAAACACACCACACAGCUGACUUCUGUUUUCACUGACAUCUUCAAUUGCUUUCUUCCUCUAUUUGUUUUGAUUUUUAGAGGAGUGCUCUGUGGAAAUCAAAAACGUCAAGUGAGAACGACUUCUCAACAUUCACAUCCUUGGCUAGGGAUGGAAUACAACCUCAUUUCAGACUCCAUAGAUUCAUUUCCCUUUCCAAAACAAAGCAGCAGAUCAGUGAUUCCUUUUCCUCUUUCAUACUGCUUUUUGAUUUCGUGAGGUAGUGCGAUUAAAGCGCAAAUGCAAUGCUGCUAACUGGCUUGAUUUUCAGAAGGAUUGAGCUUUGAUCGAUACACUUAAGCCCGGGUUGGCCGAGUAGACGCAAGCAUGCUUUUUCAAUGAGGUGGUGUAAAUAAAAUUAGAUUUUUGGACGUUGAUUAAUCAGUUAUCAAAGUAGUUGCGGCACUACUGAUUGGUUAGGCGAAGGAACUCUCUGGUGGAGAGCAGAAAGGUAGCGAACAAACACGAACGCAGGUGAAUGGCUGCAGAGGAAAGUGUGAUCUGUUUCGAAUUCAGCAGAAACUCAAAGACAGACCUUCCAGUUUACAAGCUGUUACAAAAGGAAAUGCAUUCUCCUUUUAAAUGCAUUCACUGAGACUGACUAGAAACAGACGGUUGAAGAGAUUAAUGCUUCGCAGGCAAUGGUUAGGCAACAAACGGGAUUUCAGAUCUGAUAUUAGUGCUGUCGUUACUUUAUAUUUCGAUUGUGAAAUUAAAUUGCCAUGUUUACUUGGCAAGAGUGGCCCAUCAUUACGGUAACAUAUUGGUCAGUGAUGAGAUGCUCAUUUUUAUUAUUCAUUUAUUUCUUUAAGACAUUUCAGGCAAAACCAUUGUUUUUUUCAGGCACUGGUCAAUUUUGAGAUUUUGGGCCAUUGUGCUUUCAUAACUCGACCUCUUUCAAACCAGUGGAAAGAAAACAUCCAGAAUGCACAGUUAAAUGACUGUUUUAUUACACUUUAUAUAUUUGCGUCUGCGUAUUUCAAUUACAAUACAUAUUUUUAAAGGUAAUUUUCAUAAAAUUAGUUUAUAUAUCUUUUUUUCCUAAAAUUUGUAUUUUUUUUCCCUGGCUAUUGACAGUACUUUUUGAUUUAUGGAUUCAUAAAAACAGGGAAUCUGUCAAAUAAUCUGUCAACAAGAUGAAGAAAGAAUUUUGAACCUGGCUUUAUCCAAUGUUUAGAUUUCUGUUCUAGAAAUAUAAGCAAAGUAGUGCAUACCCGAUUAGCUAAUGCCCCGUUUGCGUAUCAAAUCUAUUGUCUUAAUGUACUGUUUUCAAUCAAGUAUGGCGAUAUUUAUCAGUUAAACUAUUUUCCCUAUAGUGCCUCGCCAUAAAAAUUCAAUGCAUAAAGAAUGUCUUGUAUAUUGUCUGUAAUGAACAUGCUUUCAGUUUCUGAUUCAAAAUUCACUUUGCAUUCCAUUUGAUCAUUUUGUGGGGCUUAAAGUCAAAAAAUGUCUACUUGGUGUAACUGUAACCUGGUCUGCAACCCAUUUACUUGUAUAAUAUAUCAUACUUUCAUGUUCAGAAAUUCCCGAAAACCAUUUAAAUGGUUAAUAACUACCCCAGUUCCUGCCUGGAUUCCCCGCUGCUGUCCAAUGACUUCUGUACUAGAACACAAAGCAGCAGUAAACGGUGGCAAUGAAGUCAGUGAUGGUUUGUGGUAGUGCCGUACCCUGUAAAUCUGGUCAUUACUGCCACUGUGCAUCAGUAAAAGCACUAAACCUUUGAAAACGGCACAGAGAGAAACAACAGGAACAUCCUUGGUUUACAAGCAGACUCUAGUACAUGCUUAAAAUUCUUCAGUUUGUACUCAAGAUCGAGUCUCAUAAACAAACACAUAAAGUUUAAUGCUUCCCGGGUAAAUGUUAGCGUGACUGCUGUGUGAGCUGACAUCCCUACUGAUACAAGCCGCGUUUCCAUGACCCGUCGUGCCCACCAGCAUACGCUGAGAUCGGCGUCUUGACCAGAUGCAAACGGCUGUUACACAACUCAAAUGUGGCAUUAGUUGUUUGGCAAUCAAGCAUCAUUGUGUCAUAUGAAGCUUGUAAUACUUCUCUGUGGAACAAUAAGCAAGAAUGUAACAUUACCUAGACUAGAUAGAAGAACUAGAAAAACAAUUGUUCACCGAAAUAUGAAAAUUUGCUGAAAGAGUUUGCAAUCUGGGCAUAUUUCUCUUCCUGAUUCAGAAAAGUUUAGAAAGCAGUAAUAUGGAUAGAGGGCUCAUAUUUUGGUCAGAAGUAACAGUUUGAAGUUAAAAACAUCUUAACAAUGGAUUUAUUUCUUACAAACAUGCAGAUUUUCACUUCUUUAAAUUUACUGGUGUACUGGAGUGGUGUGGAUUAUUGUGAUGUUUUCAUCAGCUGUUUGGACUCUCAUUCUGACGGCACCCAUUCACUGCAGAGGAUCCAUUGGUGAGCGAGUGAUGGAAUGCUACAUUUUUACAUGUCCAAGCUACUAAACUUUAUCAUUUCUGAUUUAUUUUAGGAAAAGGUCAGAAUAAUUUCUUUAUCAGCACGAUUAAAAAAAUAAUUUUUGAGCUGUAAAGUAAAAACUAAAUUAUUGGUGGAUGUUUUUUAAUCUUUCUACUUGAAAACGUAAUGUUUCACUUAAUGUUUUUUGUCAUUUUUUUCAUUAAUUUUUUUUAUUUGCUAGCAAUUUCUCAGUGAAAGUUGUUCAUACUCAAAAACAAUCAGUAAGGUGCAAAGGAUCAGAUUUCAUCUGAUUUUGAUUGCAUCCAAUAAAAACACACAGUUCCAAAUGUUCCAUGUGGCUGCUGCAAAUGCAUGACCUCUGUGACCCCGCAUGUUUGCAGUGGAAUAGACUGUUAUUUGGAGAUGAAUAAUUAUGCUGUUUCUGUUCUUAUUUAGGAUGCUGUGUUUGUGCACAUGCUGUGUCGAUCGGCCGUGUCUCACCCUGCUCGAUCGUUCACAUCUGUGGAGAUGAAAGGCGAGGGAGAGAAAUGCUUUCAUAUGCCAAAGGAAGCAUUUCAUUGCACGCUGUGCUAAACCAACAAGACUACAUGUGUGCAUCACACUCCAUUAUUUGAGCCACCCAGACAGAAAGAGAGCCAGUCAAGAAGGACAAAGUUGCAUCACAAUCCGCAUGCUAAAUAUAUAUCAUACGGGUCAUUCCCAGGUUCAAAAGUUUGGAUCAGUAUGAUCAUUGUUUCGUUUUGUUUUUUUUUAAGAAAGGAAUACUUUUAUUCAGCAAGGGCCAAUUAAAUUGACCAAACAUGAUAGUAAAGGCAUUUAUAAUGUUACAAAGGAUUUCAAAUUCUGUUGUUCUUUUGAACUUUUUGUUCAUCAAAAAUCCUGAAAAAAAAAAAACUGUUUUCAUCAGUGGUAAUAAUGAGAAACAUUUCUUGAGCAGCAAAUCAGGAAAUUAGAAUGAUUUCUGAUGUAUCGUGACACUGAAGACUGGAGUAAUGAUGCUGAAAAUUCAGCUCUGAUCACAGGAAUAAAAAAGCAUUUUAAAAGAUAUUCAAAUAGAAAACAUUUAAAAUUAUAAUAUUUCAGAAUACUAGUUUUUGCUGUAUUUUUGAUCAAAUAAAUGCAGCCUUGGUGAGCAGAAGAGACUUCUUUCAGAAACUAUAAACAAUCUUUUAUGCAAUUAUUGUCUAUGUACUGUAUGUCUAAAUAUAUUAGAUAAAAUAUUACACUUAAUUCAUUAUUAGAAAAACUGACCAUUUAUUUGAACAUUUUCAGUAAUUGAUUUUCUUGUCUCAUUCUCAUUUAUUAGUCAUCUUGUUAUCCUGUUAGUCUCUAAUAUUUAGAAUAGCAUAUUAUUUCUCUUGCUGUAUUACUGUGUUUUCUGUCAUAUUCUGCUUUUCCAAUUUCAGCCAAUGACACAGUUUUUGAUGGUUAAACCAAGUCGUUGAUGUUUUGUUGGUUAGCGUCAACAUCUUUCUCCAUGGACGGCCAUUCAGCACAAACACAAAGGUGUACUUCUCAAGUAAUAGAUCUGACCGUGGAACAAGGCGAGCCGUCUUCUGUGUGCUAACUAUCCUGCGGUUGCUUUGGAGAAGCAGGCAUUUGCCAGAAGACACACCUAAUCAUUUCUUCUCCUUGAGUCAGCAUCUGACGCAAGUGGAAAGUGUUUCUGUCAGAAGAUAACAAAAGAUCUCAGUCGAUCGUCUCCUGCAGUCUGACUUUAAGAGUGCUCCAAAUGCAUCAUCGUGGCAUGUUUGUGCUUCCAUUGAAUGGUGCGUCCAGGUCCAGUGAAUGCGCUCAUGCAUAUUCUAAAUGAGCAGGAUUUUUACAUUACAAUGAACUCUGUAACUGAGAGUCCAUGUGUUACAAGCCAACUAAAACUCAAAGCACUUACAGAAUGAACAAAUAUAAGACUAAAGAAGGCACUGAUUAUGCUAACAUCUUUUUACAUUUACAAAUAAACAGUUAUUUUUUGUUUUGUUUUAUUUAUUUUCACAUUUUGAUGUCAAUUUCUUUUUUUAAAAGCCAUCUGAAAACGUUUUAGAGUUCAGCAUGGCAAUCUUUUUAUUUCUAUACAUUUUUAUUUUUAUGUCAGUAUUUUUGUUUGUAAUAUUUUCUUAAUAGAGCUAUCUGAAAAUAUGUUGAACAUUUUGUGUUUCUACGUGGCAAACUUUCUGUACAUUUAUAUACUUUUUCAAAUGUUUGUUAAUUUUUUUUCUUUCUGAAAAUGUAGACAUUUUAUGGUUCUCUUUGGCAAACUGUUUAUUUCUGUACUUUUUUCCAAUGUUUGAUGGCAAUGUUUAUUUUUAUGUUGUUAGAAAGAUAUCUGAAAACGUGGGGGAUGUUUUGUGAUCUGCAUGACAAACAAGUUUUUAUUUCUAAAUAUUAUUGGUUUAUUUAUAUAUUACUAUUAUUAGUAUUUUAAUUUUGAUAUCAACUGUAAUGUAAUUUUAUAAAGUUUUCUGAAAAUGUGUUGGACAUUUUGUGGUUCUGCAUGUCAAACUGUGUUUUAUUUCUAUACAUUUCCAUAUUUUACAUUUUGAUGUCAAUAUUUAUUUUUACAAAGCUAUCUGGAAACACGGGAUGGACAUUUUGUGGAGCUGUACAACAAAAUUAAAAUCUGUUUUGACAGCUGUGUUAAUUGUUGUGACAAAACUGUGCUUAGUUUAGAUAAAUAUGUCUAAUUAGUUGAGAUAAACAAUGUUGUAAUAUUAAAUCUAAAGCCCAGAUAUGCUUUAAAAAGUCCAAAUCUAUACACGCCUCAACCGAGAUCUGACGCAGAUCUGAAUCAUACAGCGCAGCUGUAGACAAACAUGUGGACAGAUCUGUACGUGUACUCGAUGAUUAAGAGUGGUCAUGCCUUCUGGACUGUUAUCAAUAAAAUAUUUAAUAAACAUGGUAACAACACAUCCUUAAACAGCA